AUGGCAUUUUACUCAGAUCAUCAUGCUUAUGUGAGCAACACUACAAACAGCACAGAAAGUAUUCAAGAACUGAUAAGUAAGAUUUCCCAUCGAUUAGAUGAUUUAGCUCGGCAGCGAGAAGUAGUUUUCGAGGAUAGGCCUAGCUCUUAUGAUCCUUAUUCUAGAGGUCAUCCUUAUGUUGCUCCUACAUGCCAUAUUUGUGGAUUUCAGGGCCAUUCACCCGCUGAAUGUCAGCGUGGUUACUCUCACCCUCCCAAUUGUUAUGGCAUGAGCUUCGCCCCACAGCCUAGCUCAUACCAAAACAAUUACUCAUAUGGGUGGCCUGAAAACCAGAAUAUGUCAUAUAGGAACAACAACCCUGAGAUCUCACUGUUUGCUUCUAGUAAUCAUAUGCAGGGAUUUAGGUACAAUGAGGAGAGCCACAACUAUGUACCACGACAAUUUCAUUCAGCUCCUACUCAUAUACCUCAACACCAGGAGAUGUUGCCAAUGGAGUUAAAUGGUCCUCCAUUUGGUCAACCAACACCUUCAACACAAGUGCCCACACAAGAUGAUUUUGAUGAUAUAGACAAGCUCACACUGCUUAGUCUCGAGUUCACUUGGAGUGCUGAAGAUGAUCCAAUUAGGCCGGUGAUACUAGAGGAAAUGAAGAAGAUCAAGAGUGGAAAAGAGCUAGUGGAAGAAGGAAAAUUGAGAAGAAUAUGA
RNAcentral lists this ribosomal RNA (705 nucleotides) under Triticum aestivum (bread wheat). Its description in RNAcentral is "partial small subunit ribosomal RNA". The record is from RNAcentral. Lineage: Eukaryota; Viridiplantae; Streptophyta; Magnoliopsida; Poales; Poaceae.